GCCUUGGUAUGGNAACUUACUAAGUGAUAACUUUCAAUUCAGAGAAACCCUGGAAUUAAUAAAAAUGGGCAAUCCUGAGCCAAAUCACGUUUUCCGAAAACAAGCAAAGGUUCAGAAAGCGAAAAUAAAAAAGGAUAGGUGCAGAGACUCGAUGGAAGCUAUUCUAACGAAUGGAGUUAAUUGUAUACAUUGGUAUAGGAAUCCUUCUAUCGAAACUUCAGAAAAGUGAAGGAUAAGCCUGUAUACAUAAUACAGAAGAAUUGGUGUGAAUCGAUUCCAUAUUGAAGAAAGAAUCCAAUAUUAAUUGAUCAAACCAUUCACUCCAUAAUCUGAUAGAUCUUUUGAAGAACUGAUUAAUCGGACGAGAAUAAAGAUAGAGUCCCGUUCUACAUGUCAAUACUGGCAACAAUGAAAUUUAUAGUAAGAGGAAAAUCCGUCGAUUUCAAAAAUCAUGAGGGUUCAAGUCCCUCUAUCCCCAAAAAGACCAUUUGACUUCCUAAUUCUUUAUCAUAUCCUUUUGAUUUAUCCUUUUUCAUUAGCGGUUCAAAACUCCUUAUCUUUCUCAUUCACUUUUAUACAAAAGGAUCUGAGCGAAAAAGCUGUUCUCUUAUCACAUGUCACAUUAUAUAUGAUACAUGUACAAAUGAACAUCUUUGAGCAAGGAAUCCCCGUUUGAAUGAUUCACGAUCGAGAUUUUUAUUCAUACUGAAACUUACAAAGUUGUUCUUUUGACAAAUUAUAGGAACUGGAUGAGGCUUUGUAAUACCCUUUCAAUUGACAUAGACCCACGUUCUCUAGUAAAAUGAAAUGAGGAUGAGACAUCAGGAAUAGUUGGGAUAGCUCAGUGGUAGAGCAGAG
RNAcentral lists this unclassified non-coding RNA (858 nucleotides) under Formania mekongensis. Its description in RNAcentral is "partial contains tRNA-Leu (trnL) and trnL-trnF intergenic spacer". The stretch from base 1 to 403 matches the Rfam family "Group I catalytic intron". The record is from RNAcentral. Lineage: Eukaryota; Viridiplantae; Streptophyta; Magnoliopsida; Asterales; Asteraceae.